RNAcentral lists this unclassified non-coding RNA (337 nucleotides) under soil metagenome. RNAcentral's name for it is "partial contains 5.8S ribosomal RNA, internal transcribed spacer 2, and large subunit ribosomal RNA". The stretch from base 5 to 119 matches the Rfam family "5.8S ribosomal RNA", at positions 40 to 154 of the family's 154-position model. The record is from RNAcentral.
GAUGAGAACGCAGCGAAAUGCGAUAAGUAGUGUGAAUUGCAGAAUUCAGUGAAUCAUCGAAUCUUUGAACGCACAUUGCGCCCCUUGGUAUUCCAUGGGGCAUGCCUGUUCGAGCGUCAUUUGUACCCUCAAGCUCUGCUUGGUGUUGGGUGUUUGUCUCGCGGUUCUGCGCAGACUCGCCUUAAAACAAUUGGCAGCCGGCUGUUAGCCUGGAGCGCAGCACAUAUUGCGCCUCUUGCUAGCGACUGCCCGGCACCCAUCAAGCCCAUUUAUUUGCUCUUGACCUCGGAUCAGGUAGGGAUACCCGCUGAACUUAAGCAUAUCAAUAAGCGGAGGA